Molecule: ribosomal RNA, 165 nt
Filed under: Goodyera foliosa var. foliosa
Lineage: Eukaryota; Viridiplantae; Streptophyta; Magnoliopsida; Asparagales; Orchidaceae
Description: 5.8S ribosomal RNA
Rfam family: 5.8S ribosomal RNA
About the family: 5.8S ribosomal RNA (5.8S rRNA) is a component of the large subunit of the eukaryotic ribosome. It is transcribed by RNA polymerase I as part of the 45S precursor that also contains 18S and 28S rRNA. Functionally, it is thought that 5.8S rRNA may be involved in ribosome translocation.
Source: RNAcentral
UAUGACUCUCGGCAAAGGAUUUCUUGGCUCUUGCAUCGAUGAAGAGCGCAGCGAAAUGCGAUACGUGGUGGGAAUUGGAAAAUCCCGUGAACCAUCGAGUUUUUGAACGCAAGUUGCGCCCGAGGCCAAUUGGCUAAGGGCACGUCCGCCUGGGCGUCAAGCAUU